This 610-nucleotide long non-coding RNA is filed under the name Sus scrofa (pig). Its description in RNAcentral is "lncRNA (ENSSSCG00070006869.1)". The record is from RNAcentral. Lineage: Eukaryota; Metazoa; Chordata; Mammalia; Artiodactyla; Suidae.
GAACCUGCGCUUCAACAACGGAGCUAAAUGAAUUCAGGGGGAGAUACCCCUCCCCCAAGCCGCACUCUAAAAAUUUUGGCUGAAUGUCUAAAGAAGCUAUGAGCACCCGGAGGCCUUUAAGGAAAACAGUCCACUGGCUGCACACAGCUGCAGCUGGGGGCAGGGAGGGGGAGGUGCUGGAGAGACCAAACAGACCUGAUCGGCAGGGUGAAUCAUGUCAGGACUUUGCACUGGACCCGCAGCCUGGAAGCCAAGAAGAACAGACACACAAAACAUCCCCGUGGCUGGGAGGUACCUUUCUGAAAGAGGCAGGAGAUAGAUAUUUGCUCUUACCAGAUUCCUCUCCAUCAGGAUUUUUUUCUCAACUUCAUUGCAAGAUGGAGUAAAAAAAAAAAAAAAAAAAAAGUCUGAUAAAGAAAAACCAGGGAUAGAAAACACCCCAUAAAACGUACCCCCAAAGGGAAGGUGCAAAACCCAUUUGAUCCAAUGUAUAGAUAUCUCCACCCUGGAUUUUCUUUUUUUUCUUUUUUCUUUUUUUUUUUUUUACCUUUGCUUUACAACUCUGCAGACAUCAGGUUAGCAAAAGGUAAUAAAUAGUCCUUGCACAGCA